This 360-nucleotide transfer RNA is filed under the name uncultured Microcystis sp. Its description in RNAcentral is "partial 16S-23S ribosomal RNA intergenic spacer". The stretch from base 133 to 206 matches the Rfam family "tRNA". Lineage: Bacteria; Bacillati; Cyanobacteriota; Cyanophyceae; Chroococcales; Microcystaceae. The record is from RNAcentral.
AAGGGAGACCUAAUUCAGGUAUGGGACGAAAAAAAAGUAGUCGCUACCAAGAAUCAAUCCCAAAAGGUCGGAGCGAGGUAUGAGGCUUUCAAACUAGGUUCUGGGUUCAAACAAGACCUGAAUCAGGAACAAGGGCUAUUAGCCCAGGUGGUUAGAGCGCACCCCUGAUAAGGGUGAGGUCCCUGGUUCGAGUCCAGGAUGGCCCACCUGCACAGGUGGCAAAAACAAGAGAAGCGAGGAAUCAGCACCUUAUCUUAUCUAUAUAUAUAUAGGAGAGAAUGCUGGCUCUGAGUAAAGAGUCCAGAGGAACCUUGAAAACUGCAUAGAGCUAGGUGAAAAAGCCAAAAAAGAAGACCGCAA